CGCGUAGGUGGUUCAUUAAGUUAGGAGUGAAAGCCCCGGGCUCAACCUGGGAAUUGCUUCUAAAACUGGUGAGCUAGAGUACGGUAGAGGGUGGUGGAAUUUCCUGUGUAGCGGUGAAAUGCGUAGAUAUAGGAAGGAACAUCAGUGGCGAAGGCGACCACCUGGACUGAUACUGACACUGAGGUGCGAAAGCGUGGGGAGCAAACA
This 207-nucleotide ribosomal RNA is filed under the name uncultured Pseudomonadota bacterium. RNAcentral's name for it is "uncultured proteobacterium partial 16S ribosomal RNA". It matches the Rfam family "Bacterial small subunit ribosomal RNA", at positions 568 to 774 of the family's 1533-position model. The record is from RNAcentral. Lineage: Bacteria; Pseudomonadati; Pseudomonadota.